CAAGUCGCACGAGAAAGGGGAGCAAUCCCUGAGUACAGUGGCGUACGGGUGAGUAACACGUGGAUGAUCUACCUUCUAGUGGGGAAUAACCCUGGGAAACCGGGGCUAAUACCGCAUAAGCUCGAGAGAGGAAAGCAGCAAUGCGCUGGAAGAGGAGUCCGCGGCCGAUUAGCUAGUUGGCAGGGUAAGAGCCUACCAAGGCAAAGAUCGGUAGCCGGCCUGAGAGGGCACACGGCCACACUGGCACCGAAACACGGGCCAGACUCCUACGGGAGGCAGCAGUGGGGAAUCUUGCACAAUGGGGGAAACCCUGAUGCAGCGACGCCGCGUGAGCGAUGAAGCCCUUCGGGGUGUAAAGCUCUUUCGGCAGGGAAGAUAAUGACGGUACCUGCAGAAGCAGCUGCGGCUAACUACGUGCCAGCAGCCGCGGUAAUACGUAGGCAGCGAGCGUUGUUCGGAGUUACUGGGCGUAAAGGGUGUGUAGGCGGUUGUUUAAGUUUGGUGUGAAAUCUCCCGGCUCAACUGGGAGGGUGCGCCGAAUACUGAAUGACUUGGAGUGCGGGAGAGGAGAGUGGAAUUCCUGGUGUAGCGGUGAAAUGCGUAGAUAUCAGGAGGAACACCGGUGGUGUAGACGGCUCUCUGGACCGUAACUGACGCUGAGACACGAAAGCGUGGGUAGCAAACAGGAUUAGAUACCCUGGUGGUCCACGCCCUAAACGAUGCAUAUUUGGUGUGGGCAGUUCAUUCUGUCCGUGCCGGAGCUAACGCGUUAAAUAUGCCGCCUGGGGAGUACAGUCGCAAGGCUGAAACUCAAAGGAAUUGACGGGGGCCCGCACAAGCGGUGGAGCAUGUGGUUC
Molecule: ribosomal RNA, 857 nt
Filed under: uncultured Bacillota bacterium
Lineage: Bacteria; Bacillati; Bacillota
Description: bacterial SSU rRNA
Rfam family: Bacterial small subunit ribosomal RNA
Source: RNAcentral